CCUACGGGAGGCAGCAGUGAGGAAUAUUGGUCAAUGGCCGGAAGGCUGAACCAGCCAUGCCGCGUGAAGGUCAGUGCCCUAUGGGCGUUAAACUUCUUUUGUGCGGGAGCAAUAAUGGUCACGUGUGGCCAGACGAGAGUACCGUACGAAUAAGCAUCGGCUAACUCCGUGCCAGCAGCCGCGGUAAUACGGGGGAUGCAAGCGUUAUCCGGUUUUAUUGGGUUUAAAGGGUGCGUAGGCUGUGAGGUAAGUCAGCGGUGAAAUGCCCCCGCUCAACGGGGUGAAGUGCCAUUGAUACUGCCUGGCUGGAAUGCGGAUGCGGUGGGAGGAAUGUGUGGUGUAGCGGUGAAAUGCAUAGAUAUCACACAGAACACCGAUUGCGAAGGCAUCUCACGAAUCCGCGAUUGACGCUGAUGCACGAAAGCGUGGGUAUCAAACAGGAUUAGAUACCCCUGUAGUC
RNAcentral lists this ribosomal RNA (460 nucleotides) under uncultured bacterium. Its description in RNAcentral is "partial 16S ribosomal RNA". It matches the Rfam family "Bacterial small subunit ribosomal RNA", at positions 338 to 795 of the family's 1533-position model. The record is from RNAcentral.